AGCACUAGGUUGUUAAGUGAAAAACAGGAUUACUUGUGAGAAAAAUCAGAAUCCUGGAGCAGCUGUAGCUAGAAAUGGGAUUAAACAAAAUGCCUUAAUGCUGAAACAUGAAAUCAGAAGCUGAGGAUAAAUGCAGACAGUUGAUGAGAAGAGCCUAUGGCCAUGUGGACUCUUUGCAGACUGUCCUGUGUGGGAAAAUGGGCAGCUGAACACCAGUAUAGCCAGCUCAUAUUUUUGAGUUGACUAAGAGACUUAUUAGUGCAGGAUGAAGUAGUUGUGCAAUGCUCAGAGGAGGGCAAGAAAAUCACAGAAGGUCUCUGAACAUGGUGGUUGAAAACAUCAGAGCUGACCAGCUGGAGUUUAUCCUGGUGAUCUGGAUCUGGACCCCAAAGGCAGAGCCUGCCUCUCCCACUGUGCCCUCUCCACAGAGCUUGGCAGAGCUGUGGAUCAGCAGGGUUGCAGUAAUCUGUUCAGAGGAGGGGCAGGAGAGAGGAUGGAGGCUGAUUAAAUUGCAAGGAGUCUUUGACUUACAGGUAGUUAUUAAUCUGUAAUUGUGUGACAGGAUUUCUGUGAAUACUUCCAAUUUUUAGGUGAUCACUGAAAGGUUCCUGGUGAAUUUUUGUUACUGGUUUAUUUCUGUGGCUACUUGGGAAGUUUUGCUGCAUGGUUAUAACACAGAAAUAAUUAACAAAUUCUAAUUAGGGGAUAAGGUGUGUGCUUGUAAACAAACAUCUCAUUCAAGGCAAAACAGAACCAAGAGUCACUGAAGAUAAAACUUGGUUUCUUCAGAAAAUCCUAUUUAGUAGCUGUAGUUUGGUUUGGAAAGAGAAUAUUCUAGAGAAGUAGGGUUGGACAUCUUCAUCAUCAAAACCAGUCUGCAGUGUGACAGAGCAGCAGGAUUUGGUACUGACUCCUCCUGGCAAACAGGAAAACGUGCCCCAGGGAGGAUGGGCUGCAGCGAGGUUUGAUUAACGGAGACACCUGGAGCUCACAUCCUCUCCCCAGAGCCCUUCCCUUGUCCUUUGUGCCCUUCACAACUGCUGCCUGAAAGAAUCACUGCCUUUUCCUUCAGAGAUACAAGCCUUGCAGCCUCCCUGCCUUCCACAAAUGUCUGAGAAUUUUGUGAAGUCAGCGUUAAAGCAUGAGAUGGAUGGAAUGACCUUUGCACUGUUCUAAAUCUCACUGCCCGUGGUCGGUGUGAGGUGACACACGGGAGCGGAGUGGGCAUCCAGCGGGCAGCAGUGGCAGUGCCGGGGCAUCCAGUGGGGAUCCAGUGGGCAUUUAUCAGGCAUCCACGAGGGAUCCAUUGGGGAUUCUUUGGGCAUCCAUCAGGAAUUCAUCAAGGAUCCAUCGGGAAUUCAUCAAAGAUCCAUUGGGAGUUCAUCAAGGA
RNAcentral lists this long non-coding RNA (1390 nucleotides) under Cyanistes caeruleus (blue tit). RNAcentral describes it as "lncRNA (ENSCCEG00000004023.1)". Lineage: Eukaryota; Metazoa; Chordata; Aves; Passeriformes; Paridae. The record is from RNAcentral.